CACGCCGUAAACGAUGAGUGCUAAAGUGUUAGAAGGGUUUCCACCCUGUAGUGCUGCAGCUAACGCAUUAAGCGCUCCGCCUGGGGGAGUACGGCCGCAAGGCUGAAACUCAAAGGAAUUGACGGGGGCCCGCACAAGCGGUGGAGCAUGUGGUUUAAUUUGAAGCAACGCGAAGAACCUUACCAGGUCUUGACAUCCUCUGACAACCCUAGAGAUAGGACUUUCCCCUUCGGGGGACAGAGUGACAGGUGGUGCAUGGUUGUCGUCAGCUCGUGUCGUGAGAUGUUGGGUUAAGUCCCGCAACGAGCGCAACCCUUGAUCUUAGUUGCCAGCAUUCAGUUGGGCACUCUAAGGUGACUGCCGGUGACAAACCGGAGGAAGGUGGGGAUGACGUCAAAUCAUCAUGCCCCUUAUGACCUGGGCUACACACGUGCUACAAUGGAUGGUACAAAGGGCUGCAAACCUGCGAAGGUAAGCGAAUCCCAUAAAGCCAUUCUCAGUUCGGAUUGCAGGCUGCAACUCGCCUGCAUGAAGCCGGAAUCGCUAGUAAUCGCGGAUCAGCAUGCCGCGGUGAAUACGUUCCCGGGCCUUGUACACACCGCCCGUCACACCACGAGAGUUUGUAACACCCGAA
This 634-nucleotide ribosomal RNA is filed under the name Bacillus sp. (in: firmicutes). RNAcentral describes it as "bacterial SSU rRNA". It matches the Rfam family "Bacterial small subunit ribosomal RNA", at positions 796 to 1425 of the family's 1533-position model. Lineage: Bacteria; Bacillati; Bacillota; Bacilli; Caryophanales; Bacillaceae. The record is from RNAcentral.